GUGGGGAAUCUUCCGCAAUGGACGAAAGUCUGACGGAGCAACGCCGCGUGAGUGAAGAAGGUUUUCGGAUCGUAAAGCUCUUUCGUUAGGGACGAACGUGCUCUUUGUGAAUAAUGAGGAGUAAUGACGGUACCUAAAUAAGAAGCCACGGCUAACUACGUGCCAGCAGCCGCGGUAAUACGUAGGUGGCAAGCGUUGUCCGGAAUUAUCGGGCGUAAAGCGCGCGCAGGCGGGAUAUCAAGUCUGUCUUAAAAGUGCGAGGCUCAACCUCGUGAGGGGACAGAAACUGGUAUUCUUGAGUGUCGGAGAGGAAAGUGGAAUUCCAAGUGUAGCGGUGAAAUGCGUAGAGAUUUGGAAGAACACCAGUGGCGAAGGCGACUUUCUGGACGAUGUCUGACGCUGAGGCGCGAAAGCUAGGGGAGCGAACGGGAUUAGAAACCCGUGUAGUCC
Molecule: ribosomal RNA, 450 nt
Filed under: uncultured bacterium
Lineage: Bacteria
Description: partial 16S ribosomal RNA
Rfam family: Bacterial small subunit ribosomal RNA
Source: RNAcentral